AUAUACAAGGGGAACUUGCAUACUGAAAGGAGGCUCCGCUCUGUCUCCAGACAUAAAGAACAUCUACGGGGUGAGUGGAAGCAGGUUUAUAGUAAUUAUACAGGGAGCUGGAAACAGCCUGGUUGCCUAAUAUGUUCCAUUUUCAUUUUAUGUUUUUCUUGUAUCUGUAUUAAAUGUUCUAAUACCUCCUUUAAGGCUGUUACAAAUAAACAAUUUAGGCUAGAAAUCUGUCUUUUCCUUUGUCUCAUGAAAGCCGCUUUGAAUUUGUCUAAAACAGAAAAUUGCAAAAAAUGCAGUUUAUUUUCCAUGACUUGAAUUCCCCAGGAACUUGAGCAGUCUGCUAAAAUACUAGCUGAGCAUGACGAACCUGAGACUGAAUCUCUCUGUUCUGUAGAGACUCAGCCACACAGAAGUUUCUAAUGAUGGGAAAGAAAAGGAAGCAGGAUGGACUUGGCUUUCUGGAAUGGUGGUGAUGGUGGUGGCACAUGUUCUGCUGAGGAAAGGAAGCCAGCCUUAGCUGCUAGGUAUUCAAAUGUGACUGGCAGCUCAAGUUCAGUGGUCACUUUUCUCACAUGUUCUUGAGUUUUAAUAACGACCUGCAGAGCAUGUAACAUCUCAAGGAAUUUCUUCUUCUCAUUGCUUGGACAAGAAAUAAAUGGUUUGGCAUGCUGCCCUUCCCUGGCCUGUCCCUCAGCAACCCCACCUGUCAGCAGGUGGUAGAUGUGGCUGUUCUCCUCAGUGACUUAAGAAGUCCUUGUCUUCUGCCACUGUGAAGUGUACAAGUGGUUUCAGAGCUUUAAUUGGGUAACUCUGCUGGAGGUGAGGACAAGUGAAGACCUUUCUCGGCAAGGCACUUUUGCACAGGAGCUAUGGAUUAGAUUACACCCUCAGCUGAAGUGCUAUGUGAAGACAACCAAGACAGCUCUAAAGAAAACCAGCAGCAAUCUUGGCAUGGCACUCAGGGCAGUUAACUCUCUGACAUACAAAUUACAGCGAUUUGUACUAGGCCUUGUGACUGUGGUUAGCUAUGUUCUGAUUCUUGUUUAUGGCUAGAUCUUGUACCACCUCAAUACACUGCCAUCUGCAUUUUUUUUGUGUUUAUUCUGGACACUUGAAUAACUUGUUGAGAUCUAAUUGGGCCCUAAGGGGACACACACACACAUUUAAUAUGGGUCGUGUGCAUCAUGACAAAUAAUAAUAAUUCCUGUUCCACUGUGAAAUGCUGGUGUCAUUUAAAUCUGUACAAUCCACUCGAAAAAACUGGAUUUGGAUGUAAAUUUUAUUAUUGGAAUCUUUAGGUCUAGUCUUAAACCUAUUAGAUAUAUUUUAGUGGAUAUAUUUCCACAAACUUCAAGAGGUGCUUGUGCCAGUUCUUUGACAUAUAUGUGAGAAAGCACAUGAAUAUGCAAGGCUGGCACAAAUAUGAGAACAUUUAUUAUCUGUAAACAACAGAUACAACACACACACACACACACACAAAUAGAAACAUAAUACCUGUUCCACCACUGAUAUUUUAAUGUCAGAGUCUUACUUUUACAACCAAACAUUCACCUUUACAAAUAGAUUUAGUUAAGGACAAGAUAGAUAAAUAAGUCUUUCUUUUCAGAUAUAUGUAGAUGUCUGAGGUGAAUCUUAACAGCUUAUGUCCUUAACUUUCCUUUGGGGGAAGAGAGGCCAAGAUUCCUGAUGUUGUCAGUGUAGGGAAUUACUUCAGUUCCUUCCUCCUGCGAGAGGAAUGACAAAAAUAGUAUAGGUGAUCUCCAGAUACCAGAGGAGGAAGUCACACCUAUUAGUAGUGUGAAGAAUAACAUAGUCCUCCUUGGCUUUUCCUCCCUGGAAAUGACUUCAUGGAUAGAAAACUUUUAAAACACAUGUGACUCUAUGUCUCUCCUUUGGCCAUCUAAGAGAUUAAAACAGGGAAUGGUUAUACCUCUGUUACCUUGCUGCACAUAUAGAGCCAUACAUUUUGUAGCAAAAUUAAAGAGAACCGUUAAAACACAUUCUAUGGUAUAAUCACUAGAGCUGUGCUGCCAGAACUUAACCACUUCAUUACAUGCUUUUUUUUUAAAAAAAAAAAAAAACUCUGGCCAAGAGUAUAGUGAAGCAGAUUGUGCAACAUUCUGUUUUUAUGGUUUCUGUAUAAACAUAUUAAAUAGAUUUUUUCUUAAGAACUUAAUGAUACAGUCAUUUAUUAAUAACAAACAGAGAAUUUAUACAUCUGUUUUGUUAGUGACUUUCAGAAAUUCUGAUUAUGACAAACUUGUAAGAUUAACUCCAAGCAUUCUAGUUCUAAACAUUACUGCAUUGCUAGUGCUUAGUGAGACACAGGCCCUGCCAAUUCCAAUCCAGGCUUUCAGAACAGAUAGUCCCUGGUGAAAUCAUAUCUUUCUGCACAUUCGUUCAAAGCAUGGUCUCAUUUUUUGUUCUCUAACCUGAUGUCAGGACCAUUCCUAUCUAUUUUUCAUCCCUGAAUUCUCUUCCCAGUCCCUUUUCUCUGGCACAGGCACUACUGGCACUUCUAUUUCCUUUUUUUUUUUUUUUUUUCCCCCUUUUUUUCCCUCAUCUUCCUUCUCAUCUACAUCUCCUUACAACUGUCUUCCACUCAUACUUUUUUCUCUGUUGACUUCACAGUACUUCUCACCAGCCCUUCUUCACCUCCACAGAUGACUUUCCUCACCUAGUCACCAUCAUAUCUUGCUUUGUCUCCAUUCCUUUGAGAGAGCACCAUAACCAGCAUCACCUGUUGGUUAAAAAUUUGAAUACUUCAGCACUGUGUGUGCUUACAUUUCUCCCUGCAUGCUUACAGUUCCCUGAAUGAGUUUCUUAGCACCAGUCCUUUAGAACUGCCACAGUUUUGGCAGGACUGAGUCCCUGUGCUCAGCUGAGAUCAACUGUUAAAAUGUUCCUCUGUGCUUCUUCCCAAGCAGAGUCCAGCUCAUUGUGCUGAGUCCAGGCUGCACUUAUUGAAGUUAUCCCUGCAUACAACAGCACCUCCCCAUCUUCAUAUUCACGAGUGGGGUAGUCCAAAUUCUGUUCCAGGAUAUGGGACAGCUGGAUAUGAUUCCUAUGUCUUCCCAUGGUCCAGUCUCUGCAGAGCACUCUGCAGUAAAGUGCUUUAUACUACUGAGGCAGUUGACUAACACUAGUCUUGAGACCAUAGUUUGCUUCAAUGCAUGAACAGUGUGCACAAUGGGAGAACUCAGGCUCAAAGUGAGCUGUGCUAAGAUAACAGCAAAAACAUACCCUUUUAGUCUCUCCUGUUGCAUCUGUUUCAUUUUAUAUGGAAUAAUUGCAUGUUACAUGGGUGAAGAGAGAAGAAGGUGAGUGAGUGAAAGACAAGAAUGUGUUCAAAACUUGUGUCUACCAUCUGGAAUGACUGCAUAAAAAAAGAACAUAAUAUAUAUACAGCACAAUAAAUGACUGAAUGACACAACUGUUACAAGGGGAGAGUGCCCUCCUUUUAGUACAUGUAGGAAUUCAUAUUGCUGCAAAUGACAGUGUUCCUGCAGAACACUUCUUACAGAUAUCAGACAACACUGUUUAAAAUAUUUUCAGUUGUUUUUGUUUGUUUGUUUGUUAGUUUG
Oxyura jamaicensis (ruddy duck) is the source of this 3584-nucleotide long non-coding RNA. RefSeq lists it as uncharacterized. The record is from RefSeq and is a predicted model, not a curated record. NCBI's taxonomy places the organism in Eukaryota, Metazoa, Chordata, Aves, Anseriformes, Anatidae. The transcript is spliced from 4 exons.